Molecule: transfer RNA, 73 nt
Filed under: Bos taurus (domestic cattle)
Lineage: Eukaryota; Metazoa; Chordata; Mammalia; Artiodactyla; Bovidae
Also listed under: 1 other name
Rfam family: tRNA
About the family: Transfer RNA (tRNA) molecules are approximately 80 nucleotides in length. Their secondary structure includes four short double-helical elements and three loops (D, anti-codon, and T loops).
Source: Rfam by way of RNAcentral
UCCCUGGUAGCUCAGAUGGGUAAAGCGUCUGCCUGCAAUGUGGGAGACCCGGGUUCGAUUCCUGGGUUGGGAA